Molecule: small nucleolar RNA, 94 nt
Filed under: Otolemur garnettii (small-eared galago)
Lineage: Eukaryota; Metazoa; Chordata; Mammalia; Primates; Galagidae
Description: Small nucleolar RNA U3
Source: Rfam by way of RNAcentral
AAGACUAUACUUCCAGGGAUCAUUUCUCUAGCUUGUUACUAGAGAAGUCUCUCUGAAGGUUUAGAGCACCCAAAUGAUACUAGUACAUGGUGGG